CCUACGGGUGGCAGCAGUGAGGAAUAUUGGUCAAUGGCCGAGAGGCUGAACCAGCCAAGUCGCGUGAGGGAAGACGGCCCUACGGGUUGUAAACCUCUUUUGUCGGGGAGCAAAGAGAGUCACGUGUGACUCAUUGAGAGUACCCGAAGAAAAAGCAUCGGCUAACUCCGUGCCAACAGCCGCGGUAAUACGGGGGAUGCGAGCGUUAUCCGGAUUUAUUGGGUUUAAAGGGUGCGCAGGCGGAGGGGCAAGUCAGCGGUCAAAUUGCGGGGCUCAACCCCGUACUGCCGUUGAAACUGCAUCCCUUGAGUGCGCGAGAAGUAUGCGGAAUGCGUGGUGUAGCGGUGAAAUGCAUAGAUAUCACGCAGAACUCCGAUUGCGAAGGCGGUUUACUGGACUGCAACUGACACUGAGGCUCGAAAGCGUGGGGAGCAAACAGGAGUAGAUACCCUUGUAGUC
RNAcentral lists this ribosomal RNA (459 nucleotides) under uncultured bacterium. RNAcentral describes it as "partial 16S ribosomal RNA". It matches the Rfam family "Bacterial small subunit ribosomal RNA", at positions 338 to 795 of the family's 1533-position model. The record is from RNAcentral.